UGCGAGUGAAGCGGCAAAAGCUCAAAUUUGAAAUCGGUGUGCCUAAAGUACAUUGAGUUGUAAUUUGGAGGGACAACUUCGGGCUGAACCACACCGUAAGUUCCUUGGAACAGGACGUCAUAGAGGGUGAGAAUCCCGUGUCUUGGUGUCGGGUCAAACCAUGUGAAGUGUCUCCGACGAGUCGAGUUGUUUGGGAAUGCAGCUCAAAAUGGGUGGUAAAUUUCAUCUAAAGCUAAAUAUUGGCGAGAGACCGAUAGCGCACAAGUAGAGUGAUCGAAAGAUGAAAAGCACUUUGAAAAGAGAGUUAAAAAGUACGUGAAAUUGUUGAAAGGGAAGCGCUUACGACCAGACUCGAUCUUUGGUGAUCAGCCGGACUUCGGUUCGGUGCCCUCGCCAUUGAUUGGGCCAGCAUCGGUUCUGACGGUGGGAUAAAAGGGGGAGGAAUGUAGCUCCUCUCGGGGAGUGUUAUAGCCACCUUCACAAUGCUACCAGUCGGGACCGAGGACCGC
RNAcentral lists this ribosomal RNA (509 nucleotides) under Picoa juniperi. RNAcentral describes it as "eukaryotic LSU rRNA". It matches the Rfam family "Eukaryotic large subunit ribosomal RNA", at positions 88 to 599 of the family's 3401-position model. The record is from RNAcentral. Lineage: Eukaryota; Fungi; Ascomycota; Pezizomycetes; Pezizales; Pyronemataceae.